GAUGAACGCUGGCGGCGUGCCUAAUACAUGCAAGUCGAGCGAACAGACGAGGAGCUUGCUCCUCUGACGUUAGCGGCGGACGGGUGAGUAACACGUGGAUAACCUACCUAUAAGACUGGGAUAACUUCGGGAAACCGGAGCUAAUACCGGAUAAUAUAUUGAACCGCAUGGUUCAAUAGUCAAAGACGGUUUUGCUGUCACUUAUAGAUGGAUCCGCGCCGCAUUAGCUAGUUGGUAAGGUAACGGCUUACCAAGGCAACGAUGCGUAGCCGACCUGAGAGGGUGAUCGGCCACACUGGAACUGAGACACGGUCCAGACUCCUACGGGAGGCAGCAGUAGGGAAUCUUCCGCAAUGGGCGAAAGCUUGACGGAGCAACGCCGCGUGAGUGAUGAAGGUCUUCGGAUCGUAAAGCUCUGUUAUUAGGGAAGAACAAAUGUGUAAGUAACUAUGCACGUCUUGACGGUACCUAAUCAGAAAGCCACGGCUAACUACGUG
RNAcentral lists this ribosomal RNA (497 nucleotides) under uncultured bacterium. RNAcentral describes it as "partial 16S ribosomal RNA". It matches the Rfam family "Bacterial small subunit ribosomal RNA", at positions 28 to 507 of the family's 1533-position model. The record is from RNAcentral.